GAACAUGUCUUUUUUGUGCAGAUGUGUGGAUAAAAAAAUUGUAAAACCUCGUAAAAACGUACACAAGCUCUCAAAAACGGAAGCUGGAAGAAAUAUCAACGUGCUGCGACAUUAGCGCCAAAGGAAGUUCCUGGAACGACGAGGAGAGUCCGAACGAAAAAUUCAGGAUGACCAACGUUGAAAAAUCAAUUCUCAGUUAUAAAAUAAUGAAUGACAUCAAGAAAUAAUAACAAUAGUGAAAGAAUAAGAGAGGAGAAGGUCUGGGACUGCAAUCAAAUGAUGGCGAAGUUGAUAUAAGAUCAACACAGCUAAUGACACCAACAUACUGAGAGGGGAAGAGAUCUAGAAAAGGCAUUAGUCGCCGACGAAAUAAUCCGCCUAGAGUACACCUUGACAUGAUGGAGGGCUUCAGUACUUGGACGGUUAAUCCUUUAAGAUUUAUUCCGAUAUGCUGCGCGCGAUUCGACAUUCGUGUCGUGUUUCGCGUAAUAGUUCUAUUUCUUAAUUUCAGAAGUACCGUUAAAAGUAAAACGGGCUUCAAUUGUAAAAUUCGGGAGUGCCGUUAAAAGUGUCGCGCGUUCAAGUGCGAGAGUGCCGUUAAAAGUAUCGUGCGUACAAGUGCGGGAGUGCCGUUAAAAGUGUCGCGCGUGUUAAUUAACGGUGCACUUUGACACGCUGAGAGGAGGAGGAGGCCUUGGAGAGGCAUCGGGCACCGGCAGAGCAACCCUAGGAAUUCCAGCGUUGAGCUGUCGACUCUUACAACCUGAGAGGAUGAGAAAACAUCGGGCAUCAGCGGAGCAACCUUAGGACAACAUAGCUUCAAUAUCAACAACUCCGCUGUUGCGCAUCGGUGUCGGUGAGUGAUAAAUUUUUAUUUAAUAAU
Molecule: long non-coding RNA, 883 nt
Organism: Nylanderia fulva
Lineage: Eukaryota; Metazoa; Arthropoda; Insecta; Hymenoptera; Formicidae
Source: RefSeq, a predicted model, not a curated record